Molecule: ribosomal RNA, 430 nt
Filed under: uncultured bacterium
Lineage: Bacteria
Description: bacterial SSU rRNA
Rfam family: Bacterial small subunit ribosomal RNA
Source: RNAcentral
GACGAACGCUGGCGGCGCGCCUAACACAUGCAAGUCGAACGGAGCUUAGAGAGCUUGCUUUUUAAGCUUAGUGGCGAACGGGUGAGUAACGCGUGAGUAACCUGCCCUAGAGUGGGGGACAACAGUUGGAAACGACUGCUAAUACCGCAUAAGCCCACGGUACCGCAUGGUACUGAGGGAAAAGGAUUUAUUCGCUUUAGGAUGGACUCGCGUCCAAUUAGCUAGUUGGUGAGGUAACGGCCCACCAAGGCGACGAUUGGUAGCCGGACUGAGGGGUUGAACGGCCACAUUGGGACUGAGACACGGCCCAGACUCCUACGGGAGGCAGCAGUGGGGGAUAUUGCACAAUGGGGGAAACCCUGAUGCAGCGACGCCGCGUGGAGGAAGAAGGUUUUCGGAUUGUAAACUCCUGUCGUUAGGGACGAUAAUG